This is a long non-coding RNA of Oncorhynchus tshawytscha (Chinook salmon), 515 nucleotides long. Lineage: Eukaryota; Metazoa; Chordata; Actinopteri; Salmoniformes; Salmonidae. The record is from Ensembl.
CACCAUAACAACGCCCACCCGUAGCACGCGCUCCAGCAGGUAUAUCUCACUGGUCACCAUAACAACACCCACCCGUAGCACGUGCUCCAGCAGGUAUAUCUCACUGGUCACGAUAACAACACCCACCCGUAGCACGCGCUCCAGCAGGUAUAUCUCACUGGUCACCAUAACAACACCUGCUUUUGCCGUCUUUCCUUCCACUAACUGUAAACAUCAGCUAUCUGAGCAGCUAACCGAUCGCUGCAGCUGUACAUAGUCCAUCUGUAAAUAGCCCACCCGAUCUACCUACCUCAUCCCCAUAUUGUUUUAUUUACUUUUCUGCUCUUUUGCACACCAGUAUCUCUACUUACACACCAUCAUCUGCUCAUCUAUCACUCCAGUGUUAAUUAAUCUGCUAAAUUGUAAUUAUUUCGCUACUAUGGCCUAUUUAUUUCCUUACCUCCUCUCGCCAUUUGCACACACUUUAUAUAGACUUUAUUUUGUUCUAUUGUGUUAUUGACUGUACGCUUGUUUAU